Long non-coding RNA from Cucumis melo (muskmelon), 1571 nucleotides. RefSeq lists it as uncharacterized. The record is from RefSeq and is a predicted model, not a curated record. The transcript has 3 exons. NCBI's taxonomy places the organism in Eukaryota, Viridiplantae, Streptophyta, Magnoliopsida, Cucurbitales, Cucurbitaceae.
CAUUUUGUAGUAAACCGCGAUAUAUUAACAAAUCUCCUUUCCCCUACGCGACACAUUAUUUUCUCGCGAGUCUUUCUAAUUUGCCACGCAUGCAAAUUUCACCUGCCGGACUCGUUACCGUCCCCAAAAUUGCCAUCUGGCGGAGCUCCCCCGCCUAUAUAUAAAUAAAUGAAGAAGGCGGGAGGAAAACGUAAGAGGCAUGCUUUCGAGUUUGGAGUGAGAAUUUCGCCGUCCCGGAAAGAAAGAGAGGGAUGUCGAUUAAUCUUUGGAGCAUUUUUUCCUUUGGCCUCGUCGGCGCCGGGACAACCAAUUCCUCCGCCGGGUGGUUUGCGCUAUUCGUAUGUUUGGAAGCUUUGGAGCAUUCUUUUUUCCUCUGGACUAAUCGGCGCCACACGGCCGCAGCCUCCCUUAAUGCCUUGAGUUAGCGGUUUUCGUUUACCGUUGUUCAAGAAUGCGCUUCACUUGCACAUAUACUCAAAGAAAUCUGACUCGAGAUCUUUUCCGCGGUUCGCAAUGGUGUCGUAUGGACUUCUUUUUCCGUUUGAAAUGAUCUAUGGAAGUCUGCUUGCCCGAGUUAAGGCUGAAUUACAUCUCCUAUGAUUCAAUAUGCAACAUAGGUGUAUAUAAGACAUGCAGAAUGUUCUCCUUUAAAAGAGGAACAAAAUAUGUUAAUUAUCACGGAGCAAUUGGUAGAUUGAUUAUACAGGGCCUCCAAGUGAGAGUAUGUGGCAUUGUCUGUGUCGCUACUCAGUUUCCAGGUCUAGACAGGUCAGCAUGUUCUUUGAUAUCCCUUUUUAAUUCGGUAUUGUAUCCAUUAUCUUUGUACAUUAUGAUUAAACUAUACCUAAUAAAGGCCUUUCUAUAAUAUAAACAAGUAAAAUCUAAAUAUUUUCUUACGUUGUCUAUGGAUGUGUAGUUUUUGUUCCUUGUUCCAAAAACAAUGUUAGAUGACGAAUUGGACAUUUUUUGAGGCAAAUAAAAAAAAAAAACAAUGAAAACAGAGGAUCAAAUUAAGGUUCUCAUUAUGUCGUUGGGUCAUCUAUUGUACAUAAUGUCAUUGAAUCAGCAACAUAAAAUAUGGUAUUUUUGUCCCAAAUUAAAGUUUUAGCUUUGUAUGUCAUUUCUUAAUCAGCAAAUAUUUCUAAAAUAGGCCCAGAACUUCCCCUGCAUUUUUUCCCCUAUACGAUUAGUUCUUUUGAAAUCUUUAAGCAAUACUGUACUUCUUCCAUGGGAACUAGGUAUUACAAACUCAUAAAAUUUGAUCUUCUUAUUAUAAAUUUUUCCUUAUUUUACGGACUUAAGUUUUGAUAUGACAAGCGAAGAAAGCUCGUUGCAUGGGUGUGUUUUGAGACUGUCCUUCACACUGAGUGCAUACUGAUAUUCCACGACUGCCCAUCAGAUCAUAAUUAUGAACCGAGUUCAUAGGAACAGGAUAUUUAAAUGCAUAAACCCUUUAAUGUUGCAGACAGCAUUUUGAGCGGGAUAAAAGAAGUAUCAUCUAUCAUCUAUGUCAAAACAAGAAAAUGAAGGUGUAAUGGGGAACCUUUGCUAUUGACUCUUGAAGAAGGCAG